Molecule: ribosomal RNA, 429 nt
Filed under: Gemmatimonadota bacterium
Lineage: Bacteria; Pseudomonadati; Gemmatimonadota
Description: Gemmatimonadetes bacterium partial 16S ribosomal RNA
Rfam family: Bacterial small subunit ribosomal RNA
Source: RNAcentral
UAGGGAAUCUUCGGCAAUGGACGAAAGUCUGACCGAGCAACGCCGCGUGAGUGAAGAAGGUUUUCGGAUCGUAAAACUCUGUUGUUAGAGAAGAACAAGGACGUUAGUAACUGAACGUCCCCUGACGGUAUCUAACCAGAAAGCCACGGCUAACUACGUGCCAGCAGCCGCGGUAAUACGUAGGUGGCAAGCGUUGUCCGGAUUUAUUGGGCGUAAAGCGAGCGCAGGCGGUUUCUUAAGUCUGAUGUGAAAGCCCCCGGCUCAACCGGGGAGGGUCAUUAGAAACUGGGAGACUUGAGUGCAGAAGAGGAGAGUGGAAUUCCAUGUGUAGCAGUGAAAUGCGUAGAUAUAUGGAGGAACACCAGUGGCGAAGGCGGCUCUCUGGUCUGUAACUGACGCUGAGGCUCGAAAGCGUGGGGAGCAAACAGG